RNAcentral lists this long non-coding RNA (1062 nucleotides) under Oncorhynchus mykiss (rainbow trout). Its description in RNAcentral is "lncRNA (ENSOMYG00000071873.1)". Lineage: Eukaryota; Metazoa; Chordata; Actinopteri; Salmoniformes; Salmonidae. The record is from RNAcentral.
GACAACCUGGGAGGAGGUAGAGAGGUGGUCGGUCGACCCAGGGAGAGUGCCAGAGCCCGCCUGGGAUUCUAUGGAGCAGUGCGAAGAGGGAUACCGGAGGAUGGAGUCGGUGAGACGAACACGGCUGGCAAGGAAGCCCGAGAGGCAGCCCCUAAAAAAUAUUUGGGGGGCGGCACAGAGUCAGGUUGGAGACCUGAGCCAACUCCCCAUGCUUACCAUGGCGGGCGUCGUACUGGUCAGGCACCGUGUUAUGCGGUGGAGCGCACGGUGUCUCCAGUGCGUGUUCUUAGCCCGGUGCACUACAUCCCAGCUCCCCGCAUCUGCCGGGCUAGGGUGAGCAUCCAGCCAGGACGGAUUGUGCCAGCCCUGCUCUCCAGACCUCCAGUACGUCUCUACGGCCCAGGAUAUCCUGCGCAGGCUCUGCGCACUGUGUCUCCAGUGUGUCUGCAUAGCCCAGUGGGUCCUGUGCCUGCGCCCCGCACGUGCCGGGCCAAAGUAACCAUCCAGUCAGGACGUGUUGUGCAGGCUCCUAGCUCGAGACCCCCAGUGCGCCUCCACGGCCCAGUGUAUCCGGUGCCUCUGCCUAGGACAGGGCCUCCUGUAUGUCUCCCCAGCCUGGUGAGCCCUGUGGCAGCUCAACGUACCAGACUGCCCAUACGUGUCCUCCAUCCAGUGAUGAUCCAUGGCAAGAAGCCUCCUGUGAUGAACCAUGGCACGAAGCCUCCAGUGAUGAUCCAUGGCACGAGGCCUCCAGUGAUGAUCCAUGGCACGAGGCCUCCAGUGAUGAUCCAUGGCAAGAAGCCUCCAGUGAUGAUCCAUGGCACGAAGCCUCCAGUGAUGAUCCAUGGCACGAAGCCUCCAGUGAUGAUCCAUGGCACGAAGCCUCCAGUGAUGAUCCAUGGCACGAAGCCUCCAGUGAUGAUCCAUGGCAAGAAGCCUCCAGUGAGGAGACAUGGAACGGAGCCUCCAGCAACGGGGGUCCCUGCACCAGAGGCGCCACCAAGGUGGGGGGAGCCAGAGGCGGAGGGGGGUCUACGUCCCGCACCAGAGCCGCCGCUGUAA